RNAcentral lists this long non-coding RNA (963 nucleotides) under Heterocephalus glaber (naked mole-rat). Its description in RNAcentral is "lncRNA (ENSHGLG00000038835.1)". Lineage: Eukaryota; Metazoa; Chordata; Mammalia; Rodentia; Bathyergidae. The record is from RNAcentral.
GGGGGCACGAUCAUCCGGUGAACUAAAGCAAGUAGGCAUAGUUGGGUGUGGUGCAGAAGAGGGGCGGAGUGGUGCGCCACAGUGGCCCCGUGACAGAGGACUCGGUAAAGCUGUCCGGGAGCUUGAACUUUACCUUGAGGGCAAAGGGGAGCUGGGGAAGAGUUUAAGGGGAAGAAUGACACGGUCUGGUUGGCAGUUUGGAAAGAUGCCUCUGGCUGCUGGGUGCGGGUUUGGAAGGAGCAGAGACAAGAGAAGGGGCUGGAACGAGGAGCCAGGGCCCCAAGGAAGCAGAGAGCAGAUGGUGGUGGAGGAGGUGGGGCAAGACCAGAAGAGACAAUGACUUAUUCUUCUCUGUCCUGUGGACACUCACUGAGGGCCACUCUGCGUCUGGGACACCAGGGACUGGCCCAAGGUCACAGAGGGCCCUAGGCUGGGGAGAAGUCAAGGCUGACCCUGGGUCCCCAACUCCAGGUUCCACCACCACAAACAAGUCUAGGGGGGGCCACCUGUACCCUCUGUGGACUCUUGCCCUCCCUGCCCCAUUCCCAGAGAAUCCUUAGACAUCGGAGCCCACCUUAGAGCUCUAGUAUUGUUUUUUAUAAAACUGGAAUCGACUUAUCCCAUAAGCUCAAACAAUACAAAGCAGCAUAAAGAACACUUCAAAACGUUGAAAUUUUACUUCUGGGGGUGAAGAACCACCCCUAAAAGAGGUGGCAGAGCUAAGUGCUCACCAGCACAGCCUCCCAGGCCCAAGUGCCUGGCGCCCAAGAUGGCGCGCACACCGGCACCCAGCAAGCUUUACACUUACUAUUUCCACAUUUUACAAUGUUUGUGAAGUAUAAUUCCCCAAAAGUGUUUUUGAAAUGCAAAGGAACAAUAAUAAACCCUAUAUAUAUUUUCAGUAAUAUCUAAUUAACGAGGUGUUUGUAAAGAUAAAAUGAGAAAAAGCUUGUGACUCUUAGC